UUCUUCAUUUGUUAUUCUAUCACGUCACGAAAUUUUAUGCAAUUCGUAAAAUGCUCGAGACCAGUAACAUUACAUAUUAAAUACUUCUCGAUUGUGCUCUGCAUUGUCUAGGUUUCACACCUAUAUAACCAUUGCAGAUUCCAUACAUAUAUCUUCAAACAUUUAUCCCUUGUUUUGAGUCCAACGCUAUUCACGGUUUUAUUUGUGAUAUUUAAAGGUAAAUAAUAUGUGUGGUUAUAGUGUGUUGCAUGCCAUUUAUAAGUUAACAAUCAUUAUCAAAUAUGAUUGUUGAACCCAAACAAAAAAAAUGUACAGCAUUUAAUUGUGGUUUAAAAUUACUUUAAAAUUCUUAAGUUUUACAUUUUAAGUAAGUAGUUAAAUAUUUAUUGUAUUGCUAAAUAUCUUAUCUGAAUAACUAUCUUUUUUAAUAGCAGCUAGUCAAAUCUUAGUUUGCAAGUACUCGUUUUUUAACAAAAUAUAAGCAUUUAAUAAAACAUAUUAAUUUUGUUUUUAAAACUAUUAAAUUAUUGUUUGAAUCCAAAUAAUCUAGUUAUUAUCAUGAAUAAAUACUGAUAAGAAAAACAUGACCAAUAGUCAUUAUUCACGCGUAAAAUACUAUGGAAAUGCAUUUAUUUUAUUAUUUAUUAACAAAUAAUAAAGAUAGGUAUAAUAUACUCGUGUAAAUUGAAAUAAUAUUUCACUGUUGUAUUAGAUUCACUUCAUAUGUACAAAAGGCUUUCGAAAUAAGCUUUCGUGCAACGUCAACUAACCUAUACAUCUAUAUAAUAUUAAAAGUCAAUGUUUUUAUUAUCAGUUCAAAUAGACUAAGCACAAACCGUAUACAACAAUAAUAAUAUUAUUAUAUAUUAUAGGCUCUAUAUUUUCGUUCAAUAUGUUGAAUUUGAUAAAAAAAAAAAGUAUUAUAUUGAUGAUUUAUUAUUAUAACACAUAGAAAAAAUACUUACUUCCUGUUGUUAUUUUACAAUUAUUGUAUGAUUCUGAGUAGAGGUCAAUAAAAAUGUUGUUAUUAAAUUUAAAUUAAAUAUAAUUUUUAUAAAAUUUAAGUUAUAUCAAAAAGUAAGUAUACCUUUGUUAUUUUUACGAGGAUUCUUCAAAAUGUAAACAUUUUAGUAGGAAAAACUUAAUCCUUGUGUCAAAUUUGUAAGCAUUCAUAAAAAAAGAAAUCUUGAAACAUUCGGAAUAACAUAAAAAUUUUAAAUAUCUCAAAAAUGUCAAAAUAUUUCGGUAAUUAUUAGUAUACUACAUUAAAAAAAUACUAGAAGAAGUAAAAAUUCAGAAAAAAUUUCAGGUCUCUUCUAUAAUUCUACUCUAAUUUGCGAUACCUCUCAAUGAAUUACAACGAAAAUACAAAACCGACUUUUAUAAAAAUCUGGUACGUUACGUAAUAAUAUUACUGUUUUUCUACGAGUUUUCGAUUUUUCCUCAAAAUUAUUAUAAUCAAAAAGAUUUCCACUGUGCACCUACCAGAUUUAAAAUGCUACAAGAAAACUCCUAUGCAUUAUUCGAUCGAAACAAGUGUUCUGUUCAAAAACUAUCGAUUGCAAUUGGAA
Non-coding RNA from Cinara cedri, 1571 nucleotides. Lineage: Eukaryota; Metazoa; Arthropoda; Insecta; Hemiptera; Aphididae. The record is from the annotation of a GenBank genome assembly.